AUUGAACGCUGGCGGCGUGCCUAACACAUGCAAGUCGAUCGGUAACAGGUGUAGCAAUACAUGCUGACGAGAGGCGGACGGGUGAGUAAUGCUUGGGAAUCUGCCUAUUAGUGGGGGACAACCCGGGAAACUCGGGCUAAUACCGCAUACGCUCUACGGAGGAAAGCCGGGGACCGCAAGGCCUGGCGCUAAUAGAUGAGCCCAAGUCGGAUUAGCUAGUUGGUAGGGAACGGCCUACCAAGGCGACAAUCCGUAGCUGGUCUGAGAGGACGACCAGCCACACCGGAACUGAGACACGGUCCGGACUCCUACGGGAGGCAGCAGUGGGGAAUAUUGGACAAUGGGGGCAACCCUGAUCCAGCGACGCCGCGUGGGUGAAGAGGGCCUGCGGGUUUGUAAAGCCCUUUCGGUGGGGAAGAAAAGUCUCGACCUAAUACGUCGGGACCUUGACGUAACCCACUAAAGAAGCACCGGCUAACUCUGUGCCAGCAG
This 492-nucleotide ribosomal RNA is filed under the name uncultured bacterium. RNAcentral describes it as "bacterial SSU rRNA". It matches the Rfam family "Bacterial small subunit ribosomal RNA", at positions 29 to 514 of the family's 1533-position model. The record is from RNAcentral.